RNAcentral lists this ribosomal RNA (506 nucleotides) under uncultured bacterium. RNAcentral describes it as "bacterial SSU rRNA". It matches the Rfam family "Bacterial small subunit ribosomal RNA", at positions 28 to 508 of the family's 1533-position model. The record is from RNAcentral.
AGCGAACGCUGGCGGCGUGCCUAACACAUGCAAGUCGAACGCGAAAGGGGGGGCAACCCUCCUAGUAGAGUGGCGCACGGGUGAGUAACGCGUGGGUAAUCUGCCCUCGAGUGGGGAAUAACCUCGCGAAAGCGGGGCUAAUACCGCAUAACAUCUUUCUCUCCUCGGAGAGGAAGCUCAAAGGUGACCUCUGCUUGCAAGUUGCCGCUUGAGGAGGAGCCCGCGUCCCAUUAGCUAGUUGGUAGGGUAACGGCCUACCAAGGCUACGAUGGGUAGCCGGCCUGAGAGGGUGACCGGCCACACUGGAACUGAGACACGGUCCAGACUCCUACGGGAGGCAGCAGUGAGGAAUAUUGCGCAAUGGGCGAAAGCCUGACGCAGCGACGCCGCGUGGAGGAUGAAGGCCUUCGGGUCGUAAACUCCUGUCGAGGGGGACGAAAUGGUGCUCUGUUAAUAGCAGGGCGUCUUGACGGUACCCCUGGAGGAAGCCCCGGCUAACUCCGUGC